Molecule: ribosomal RNA, 515 nt
Filed under: uncultured bacterium
Lineage: Bacteria
Description: bacterial SSU rRNA
Rfam family: Bacterial small subunit ribosomal RNA
Source: RNAcentral
AGAGUUUGAUUAUGGCUCAGGAUGAACGCUGGCGGCGUGCCUAAUACAUGCAAGUCGAACGAGGUAGCAAUACCGAGUGGCGAACGGGUGAGUAACACGUAGGUAACCUGCCCUUAAGCUUGGGAUACCCAGAGGAAACUUUGGCUAAUACCGGAUAACAACAGAGAAGGCAUCUUCUUUGCUUGAAAGGCCCCUUCAAGGGUCACUUAAGGAUGGACCUGCGGCGCAUUAGCUAGUUGGUGAGAUAACAGCCCACCAAGGCGAGGAUGCGUAGCCGAACUGAGAGGUUGAUCGGCCACAUUGGAACUGAGACACGGUCCAAACUCCUACGGGAGGCAGCAGUAAGGAGUUUUCGGCAAUGGGGGAAACCCUGACCGAGCAACGCCGCGUGAGCGAUGACGGCCCUAUGGGUUUGUAAAGCUCUGUUGUAAGCCAUGAAUGACAGCUUGAGGAAAUGCAAGUUGUUUGACGACAGCUUACCAGAAAGCCACGGCUAACUACGUGCCAGCCGCUGC